GACGAACGCUGGCGGCGUGCCUAAUACAUGCAGGUCGAGCGCAGGAAACUGACAGAACUCUUCGGAGGGAAGGCAGCGGAAUGAGCGGCGGACGGGUGAGUAACACGUAAGGAACCUGCCUCAAGGAUUGGGAUAACUCCGAGAAAUCGGAGCUAAUACCGGAUAGUUCACCGGACCGCAUGGUCCGUUGAUGAAAGGCGCUUCGGCGUCACCUUGAGAUGGCCUUGCGGUGCAUUAGCUAGUUGGUGGGGUAACGGCCCACCAAGGCGACGAGGCAUAGCCGACCUGAGAGGGGGAUCGGCCAGACUGGGACUGAGACACGGACCAGACUCCUACGGGAGGCAGCAGUAGGGAAUCUUCCACAAUGGACGAAAGUCUGAUGGAGCAACGCCGCGUGAGUGAUGAAGGUUUCGGAUCGUAAAACUCUGUUGUAAGGGAAGAACACGUACGAGAGGAAAUGCUCGUACCUUGACGGUACCUUACGAGAAAGCCACGGCUAACUACGUGCCAGCCGCCGCGGUAA
RNAcentral lists this ribosomal RNA (523 nucleotides) under uncultured bacterium. Its description in RNAcentral is "partial 16S ribosomal RNA". It matches the Rfam family "Bacterial small subunit ribosomal RNA", at positions 28 to 523 of the family's 1533-position model. The record is from RNAcentral.